Molecule: ribosomal RNA, 497 nt
Filed under: uncultured bacterium
Lineage: Bacteria
Description: partial 16S ribosomal RNA
Rfam family: Bacterial small subunit ribosomal RNA
Source: RNAcentral
GAUGAACGCUGGCGGCGUGCCUAAUACAUGCAAGUCGAGCGAACAGACGAGGAGCUUGCUCCUCUGACGUUAGCGGCGGACGGGUGAGUAACACGUGGAUAACCUACCUAUAAGACUGGGAUAACUUCGGGAAACCGGAGCUAAUACCGGAUAAUAUAUUGAACCGCAUGGUUCAAUAGUGAAAGACGGUUUUGCUGUCACUUAUAGCUGGAUCCGCGCCGCAUUAGCUAGUUGGUAAGGUAACGGCUUACCAAGGCAACGAUGCGUAGCCGACCUGAGAGGGUGAUCGGCCACACUGGAACGGAGACACGGUCCAGACUCCUACGGGAGGCAGCAGUAGGGAAUCUUCCGCAAUGGGCGAAAGCCUGACGGAGCAACGCCGCGUGAGUGAUGAAGGUCUUCGGAUCGUAAAACUCUGUUAUUAGGGAAGAACAAAUGUGUAAGUAACUAUGCACGUCUUGACGGUACCUAAUCAGAAAGCCACGGCUAACUACGUG